GCCGGGGUGGCGGAACGGGUAGACGCAGCGGACUUAAAAUCCGCUAGGCCGCAGGCCUGUAGGGGUUCGAGUCCCCUCCCCGGCACCA
RNAcentral lists this transfer RNA (88 nucleotides) under Gemmatimonadaceae bacterium. Its description in RNAcentral is "tRNA-Leu". It matches the Rfam family "tRNA". Rfam says of the family: Transfer RNA (tRNA) molecules are approximately 80 nucleotides in length. Their secondary structure includes four short double-helical elements and three loops (D, anti-codon, and T loops). The record is from RNAcentral. Lineage: Bacteria; Pseudomonadati; Gemmatimonadota; Gemmatimonadia; Gemmatimonadales; Gemmatimonadaceae.